GACGAACGCUGGCGGCAUGCUUAACACAUGCAAGUCGAACGGAAAGGCCCUGCUUUUGUGGGGUGCUCGAGUGGCGAACGGGUGAGUAACACGUGAGUAACCUGCCCUUGACUUUGGGAUAACUUCAGGAAACUGGGGCUAAUACCGGAUAGGAGCUCCUGCUGCAUGGUGGGGGUUGGAAAGUUUCGGCGGUUGGGGAUGGACUCGCGGCUUAUCAGCUUGUUGGUGGGGUAGUGGCUUACCAAGGCUUUGACGGGUAGCCGGCCUGAGAGGGUGACCGGCCACAUUGGGACUGAGAUACGGCCCAGACUCCUACGGAAGGCAGCAGUGGGGAAUAUUGCACAAUGGGCGGAAGCCUGAUGCAGCAACGCCGCGUGCGGGAUGACGGCCUUCGGGUUGUAAACCGCUUUCGCCUGUGACGAAGCGUGAGUGACGGUAAUGGGUAAAGAAGCACCGGCUAACUACGUG
This 468-nucleotide ribosomal RNA is filed under the name uncultured bacterium. Its description in RNAcentral is "partial 16S ribosomal RNA". It matches the Rfam family "Bacterial small subunit ribosomal RNA", at positions 28 to 507 of the family's 1533-position model. The record is from RNAcentral.